This 249-nucleotide ribosomal RNA is filed under the name uncultured Isosphaeraceae bacterium. RNAcentral's name for it is "partial 16S ribosomal RNA". It matches the Rfam family "Bacterial small subunit ribosomal RNA", at positions 355 to 602 of the family's 1533-position model. Lineage: Bacteria; Pseudomonadati; Planctomycetota; Planctomycetia; Isosphaerales; Isosphaeraceae. The record is from RNAcentral.
UCGAGAAUCUUCGGCAAUGGGCGAAAGCCUGACCGAGCGACGCCGCGUGAGGGAUUGAAGGCCUUCGGGUUGUAAACCUCUUUCGUAGAGGAGGAAGGGGCUGUGAAGAACAGUCCUUGACCUAUUCUAGGAAGAAGCUUGGGCUAAGUUCGUGCCAGCAGCCGCGGUAAGACGAACCAAGCGAACGUUAUUCGGAAUUACUGGGCUUAAAGCGCGUGUAGGCGGACUACCACGUUGGUUGUUGAAAUC